RNAcentral lists this transfer-messenger RNA (374 nucleotides) under human gut metagenome. It matches the Rfam family "transfer-messenger RNA". Rfam says of the family: Bacterial tmRNA, also known as 10Sa RNA or SsrA, is named for its dual tRNA and mRNA-like properties. Its role is to liberate the mRNA from a stalled ribosome. The record is from RNAcentral.
GGGGGUGUUUUAAGAUUCGCCCGAUGUAAAGGAGAUCCGAUAAGCGUGUCGAAGCGCAUCUUCGUUAAAAGGCAAAAUUAAAAUUAACUGCUAACAAUAGCAUCAAUACAAGCCGUUCUUACGGAAUGGCUUACGCUGCUUAAUUAAAUGCGGCUCGUCACCCACAUUGCUUCACACGGUGUGUCAGUGGCGUCAACAAGUGUGGAUAGUUUCCUGAUGUUCGGCAUUACAUCCCGAUACGAAAUUUAAAAGCCUUGGCGAUAAAAGUUUUGUUUGCCGUACUUUUACUCGCGACUUCAAACGACAAACUGCGCACGGAGAAAGUCGGGUAGUCUUGCGUUGGUACACGAGUGCAAGUCUCGUCACCUCCACCA